AGAGUUUGAUCCUGGCUCAGGACGAACGCUGGCGGCGUGCCUAACACAUGCAAGUCGAGCGGAGACAGUGAGUAGCUUGCUAUGAGCUGUUUUAGCGGCGGACGGGUGAGUAACGCGUGAGCAACCUUUCCCAGACAGGGGAAUAACACACCGAAAGGUGUACUAAUACCGCUUAAGACCACGGGAUCACAUGGUUCUGGGGUAAAAGAUUUAUCGGUUUGGGGUGGGCUCGCGUCCGAUUAGGUAGUUGGUGAGGUAACGGCCCACCAAGCCGACGAUCGGUAGCCGACCUGAGAGGGUGAUCGGCCACAUUGGGACUGAGACACGGCCCAAACUCCUACGGGAGGCAGCAGUGGGAAUAUUGGGCAAUGGAGGAAACUCUGACCCAGCAACGCCGCGUGGAGGAAGAAGGUUUUCGGAUCGUAAACUCCUGUCCUUGGAGACGAGUAGAAGACGGUAUCCAAGGAGGAAGCCCCGGCUAACUACGUGCCAGCAGCCGCGGUAAUACGUAGGGGGCAAGCGUUGUCCGGAAUAAUUGGGCGUAAAGGGCGCGUAGGCGGCUCGGUAAGUCUGGAGUGAAAGUCCUGCUUUUAAGGUGGGAAUUGCUUUGCAUACUGUCGGGCUUGAGUGCAGGAGAGGUUAGUGGAAUUCCCAGUGUAGCGGUGAAAUGCGUAGAGAUUGGGAGGAACACCAGUGGCGAAGGCGACUAACUGGACUGUAACUGACGCUGAGGCGCGAAAGUGUGGGGAGCAAACAGGAUUAGAUACCCUGGUAGUCCACACUGUAAACGAUGAAUGCUAGGUGUAGGGGGUAUCGACCCCUUCUGUGCCGCAGUCAACACAAUAAGCAUUCCGCCUGGGGAGUACGGCCGCAAGGUUGAAACUCAAAGGAAUUGACGGGGGCCCGCACAAGCAGCGGAGCAUGUGGUUUAAUUCGACGCAACGCGAAGAACCUUACCAGGUCUUGACAUCCACUUAAACUUACAGAGAUGUAAGGUGUGCUUGCACAAAGUGAGACAGGUGGUGCAUGGUUGUCGUCAGCUCGUGUCGUGAGAUGUUGGGUUAAGUCCCGCAACGAGCGCAACCCUUAUCUUCAGUUACUAACGCGUGAGGGUGAGGACUCUGAAGAGACUGCCGGGGACAACUCGGAGGAAGGUGGGGACGACGUCAAAUCAUCAUGCCCCUUAUGACCUGGGCUACACACGUGCUACAAUGGCCACGACAGAGAGAAGCGAAAUCGCAAGGUAGAGCGGAACUCAAAAAAGUGGUCCCAGUUCGGAUUGUGGGCUGCAACCCGCCCACAUGAAGUCGGAGUUGCUAGUAAUCGCGGAUCAGCAUGCCGCGGUGAAUACGUUCCCGGGCCUUGUACACACCGCCCGUCACACCAUGGGAGUUGGGAGUGCCCAAAGCCGGUGAGGCAACCGCAAGGAGCCAGCCGUCUAAGGCAAGACCAAUGACUGGGGUGAAGUCGUAACAAGGUA
This 1480-nucleotide ribosomal RNA is filed under the name metagenome. Its description in RNAcentral is "bacterial SSU rRNA". It matches the Rfam family "Bacterial small subunit ribosomal RNA". The record is from RNAcentral.